This 731-nucleotide ribosomal RNA is filed under the name uncultured Pseudomonadota bacterium. Its description in RNAcentral is "bacterial SSU rRNA". It matches the Rfam family "Bacterial small subunit ribosomal RNA", at positions 36 to 757 of the family's 1533-position model. The record is from RNAcentral. Lineage: Bacteria; Pseudomonadati; Pseudomonadota.
CUGGCGGCAGGCUAACACAUGCAAGUCGAACGGUAACAGGAAGAAGCUUGCUUCUUUGCUGACGAGUGGCGGACGGGUGAGUAAUGUCUGGGAAACUGCCUGAUGGAGGGGGAUAACUACUGGAAACGGUAGCUAAUACCGCAUAACGUCGCAAGACCAAAAAGGUGGACCUUCGGGCCUCUUGCCAUCGGAUGUGCCCAGAUGGGAUUAGCUAGUAGGUGGAGUAACGGCUCACCUAGGCGACGAUCCCUAGCUGGUCUGAGAGGAUGACCAGCCACACUGGAACUGAGACACGGUCCAGACUCCUACGGGAGGCAGCAGUGGGGAAUAUUGCACAAUGGGCGCAAGCCUGAUGCAGCCAUGCCGCGUGUAUGAAGAAGGCCUUCGGGUUGUAAAGUACUUUCAGCGGGGAGGAAGGGAGUAAAGUUAAUACCUUUGCUCAUUGACGUUACCCGCAGAAGAAGCACCGGCUAACUCCGUGCCAGCAGCCGCGGUAAUACGGAGGGUGCAAGCGUUAAUCGGAAUUACUGGGCGUAAAGCGCACGCAGGCGGUUUGUUAAGUCAGAUGUGAAAUCCCCGGGCUCAACCUGGGAACUGCAUCUGAUACUGGCAAGCUUGAGUCUCGUAGAGGGGGGUAGAAUUCCAGGUGUAGCGGUGAAAUGCGUAGAGAUCUGGAGGAAUACCGGUGGCGAAGGCGGCCCCCUGGACGAAGACUGACGCUCAGGUGCGAA